CCGGCACGGGUGAGUAACGCGUAUCCAACCUGCCUUACACUCUUGGACAGCCUUCUGAAAGGGAGAUUAAUACAAGAUGUUAUCAUGAGUAAGCAUUUUCGCAUGAUUAAAGGCUUACCGGUGUAAGAUGGGGAUGCGUUCCAUUAGAUAGUAGGCGGGGUAACGGCCCACCUAGUCUUCGAUGGAUAGGGGUUCUGAGAGGAAGGUCCCCCACAUUGGAACUGAGACACGGUCCAA
This 237-nucleotide ribosomal RNA is filed under the name uncultured bacterium. RNAcentral describes it as "partial 16S ribosomal RNA". It matches the Rfam family "Bacterial small subunit ribosomal RNA", at positions 100 to 334 of the family's 1533-position model. The record is from RNAcentral.